CACCUUGAAUUUAGUCAUAUCACUCGCCCGAACGAAAGCAUAUCAAUAAGGCGGAGGAA
RNAcentral lists this ribosomal RNA (59 nucleotides) under Chaetomium globosum. Its description in RNAcentral is "partial 28S ribosomal RNA". Lineage: Eukaryota; Fungi; Ascomycota; Sordariomycetes; Sordariales; Chaetomiaceae. The record is from RNAcentral.